This is a long non-coding RNA of Astatotilapia calliptera (eastern happy), 1544 nucleotides long. The record is from Ensembl. Lineage: Eukaryota; Metazoa; Chordata; Actinopteri; Cichliformes; Cichlidae.
CAAAAUUAUCUCAUUACACUUAAAAUAAGACACAAUCAGCUACAGAGCAACAUUUCAGUAAGAUUUCGAGUUAACUCGAAAUUUUGAGUAAAGUAAGUCAAAAUUUCGAGCUACUUUUCUCAAAAUUUCGAGUUAAUAAGUUGAAAUUUCAAGUUAUAGAUGCUUUUUUUGUUGUUGUUUUUUUGUGGCAGAAACGGGCUUCCAUACACCUGUGACCUGAUGGAUGUUAGCAUUAAACACAAGAGACACUAAAACACAUCAUGAAAAACAUGAUUUAAGCCCUACAACAGAAUAAAAGAAACAAAUAUAAGAAUUAACCCUUUCACACAUAGUGGUCACUACAGUUACAGCUAUUCAAAGGCUGUGUUCUUGUAUUUGUGUCAGUGUUGAUGGUAUACUUGCACAUAAACCACUACAUUGGACACUGAUGUGUCACUGCAUACCCUGCUACCCACUGGUCAUUUAAUGUUACUGUAGAUGUGUGACGUGUUUCACUGUAAUUAUUGUUAUUAUUGUUAUUUUUCUUAAGCAUUUUUAUUCAUCUUUUCAUGCCUAAAGAUGAUUAAAAAUACUUAAGUAAAAAAUCCUGAUUGAGGUCGUCUUAAUUCAUGCAUGAAACGGUUAAAAGACAAAUUAAACAUUAAGCGGUUAAGUUAGCAUAACAACACCACACAAGUACACAAGCUAACACCAGUAAGCAGUGUUACUUGCUUCACUUGUCAGUGGUUUUAAUGUUGUGGCUGACUGAUGUGUCUCAUGCAGUAGAGUGAAUACACACUCUGAGUCUCCUAAUAUGAAAACAUGUUACUGUUUCACAAACACACGAGUAAGCAAUGGGCUUCAGACUGAGUUAAUGUUAGUAUUAAAAUGAGAAUUCAACAAGUUCAUUCUUAUCUUAAGAGCCAGUGUUACCAGUGUUUUUGCUGGUUUUAUCAUCUUCCAGUCAGGUUUACCUUAGCUCAAAGUUAAGCACUUUAGAAAUCACUCCUGUGCUUCUGCUAGUAAAGUGUUUUGUGUGGAAACUUUAAAUCUGCUGUGUUUAAAUGAAAUGCUGAUGUUUUUAGAAACAGAGUAAUGUGUAAUGCUGUGUGAUGGUUAUUGUGUCUGUAUCUAGUCAGGUCCACACCUACUUAUUCACUGGUUUCAUUGUAGAAGUUAAGAAAUCAAAACUAUGUAGUCACACAGAUACCGAUGACAGACCGGGACACUAUUGUUGGUGUGUUGCUCAGGUUCAUGAGAUCAUACCUUGAAUAAUUUGAACACGGCUCUUCCAGUAGCUGAAACCUGUUAAAAUUCAGGAAUCUAAAAUGCUUCAUUUACACUUGCUGCAGGCUACAUCCAUGUGUCAUACUAUAUAUAUUUUGUAAUUCAAAGGUCUUCAUCUUUGUUCUACACGAGGCUGAAAUAAGCAGGUCUGCCCAAACCUGGUUACUGUAUCAUCUCGAGACAUAUUUUUGAAUUUUUAUGGAUUCGUCUGCAGAUUUUCUUCAGAUAUUUUCUUCUUUAAAUGAAAUAAACUUUAUUUUACUGUUUUUCUAACAUUA